RNAcentral lists this ribosomal RNA (433 nucleotides) under uncultured bacterium. RNAcentral describes it as "partial 16S ribosomal RNA". It matches the Rfam family "Bacterial small subunit ribosomal RNA", at positions 29 to 507 of the family's 1533-position model. The record is from RNAcentral.
AGCGAACGCUGGCGGCAGGCCUAACACAUGCAAGUCGAACGAACUCUUCGGAGUUAGUGGCGGACGGGUGAGUAACACGUGGGAACGUGCCUUUAGGUUCGGAAUAACUCAGGGAAACUUGUGCUAAUACCGAAUGUGCCCUUCGGGGGAAAGAUUUAUCGCUUUUAGAGCGGCCCGCGUCUGAUUAGCUAGUUGGUGAGGUAAAGGCUCACCAAGGCGACGAUCAGUAGCUGGUCUGAGAGGAUGAUCAGCCACAUUGGGACUGAGACACGGCCCAAACUCCUACGGGAGGCAGCAGUGGGGAAUCUUGCGCAAUGGGCGAAAGCCUGACGCAGCCAUGCCGCGUGAAUGAUGAAGGUCUUAGGAUUGUAAAAUUCUUUCACCGGGGACGAUAAUGACGGUACCCGGAGAAGAAGCCCCGGCUAACUUCGUG